RNAcentral lists this unclassified non-coding RNA (215 nucleotides) under Melitaea cinxia (Glanville fritillary). Its description in RNAcentral is "misc RNA ENSMCXG00005017996.1". Lineage: Eukaryota; Metazoa; Arthropoda; Insecta; Lepidoptera; Nymphalidae. The record is from RNAcentral.
AUUUGUUCAUCCUGAUGAUUAAUAACGAGUAUUUAUAUAUGCACUAAUACAAUAUAAUUCUUUUCAGCUAUGCGUGUCGCCGGAAGAACUUUAUAAUUAUAUUCCGAAGUCAUAAUGACGUUAGCUGCAGAUAUCAUGGUAAAACAUUCUUUAAAUUUUAUUGACCACGAUGUUCCAGAAUGAUAUUGAAAAAGUAGCCAUGGUAUACAUACGAA